Molecule: long non-coding RNA, 206 nt
Filed under: Mytilus galloprovincialis (Mediterranean mussel)
Lineage: Eukaryota; Metazoa; Mollusca; Bivalvia; Mytilida; Mytilidae
Source: RNAcentral
CGUCCUAAAUGUUUCGACAUUAUCCUUAGCUUAUCCCAAGACUCCUAGUUAAUCAUAAAUUGACGUCAUGUUAUCCUAGAAUACUUUCGUUAACCUAACUUAAGACUAAGCCAUGUCAUAAAACACCCUUACACAAUUUCAGUAUAUUUACUGUGAACAAACAUAAAGUUACUGUACUUCCUUGGUUUUAAAAUGUUAAAAUAAAA